AAGUCGUAACAAGGUUUCCGUAGGUGAACCUGCGGAAGGAUCAUUAUCGUAAAAACAUAGGCCGAGCGGCUGUCGCUGGUCCUCCGGGACAUGUGCACGCCUUCGGUCGACAUCCUUCACACCCCUGUGCACCUCUGCGUGUGGUCUUCCCCUUGCUUCUUAAAAACGGCGGGGUUGGCCCGCGUCUCUUAUAAACACCCCUCAAUGUCUUACGAAUGUCUACUAUGCGAUACAAAGCAUCUAAUACAACUUUCAACAACGGAUCUCUUGGCUCUC
This 276-nucleotide unclassified non-coding RNA is filed under the name air metagenome. Its description in RNAcentral is "partial contains small subunit ribosomal RNA, internal transcribed spacer 1, and 5.8S ribosomal RNA". The stretch from base 1 to 46 matches the Rfam family "Eukaryotic small subunit ribosomal RNA", at positions 1786 to 1831 of the family's 1831-position model. The record is from RNAcentral.